Molecule: ribosomal RNA, 510 nt
Filed under: uncultured bacterium
Lineage: Bacteria
Description: bacterial SSU rRNA
Rfam family: Bacterial small subunit ribosomal RNA
Source: RNAcentral
CUGGCGGCGUGCCUAAUACAUGCAAGUCGAACGGUCUUUCUAUGGAAGCUUGCUUCCACUGAGAAGAUAGUGGCGAACGGGUGAGUAACACGUGGGUAACCUGCCCACAAGAGGGGGAUAACAUCCGGAAACGGGUGCUAAUACCGCAUAGUUUUCUUGAUCGCAUGAUCGGGAAAGGAAAGACGGCCUUUGUGCUGUCGCUUAUGGAUGGACCCGCGGCGUAUUAGUUAGUUGGUGAGGUAACGGCUCACCAAGACGAUGAUACGUAGCCGACCUGAGAGGGUGAUCGGCCACAUUGGGACUGAGACACGGCCCAAACUCCUGCGGGAGGCAGCAGUAGGGAAUCUUCCGCAAUGGACGAAAGUCUGACGGAGCAACGCCGCGUGAGUGAAGAAGGUUUUCGGGAAUCGUAAAACUCUGUUGUCAGAGAAGAACAAGUUGGAGAGUAACUGCUCCAGCCUUGACGGUAUCUGACCAGAAAGCCACGGCUAACUACGUGCCAGCAGCAGC